CUCGGUGUUUUCUUUUUUGUCCUAUCGCGUCGCUAUAUGCGAAAUUUAACCAAACAUGUGAAAAAUCUUCCUUUGCUCUCGGACGCGUCCGGCUACGCUAAAUUAGAAUUUUAACGGUUUAACAAAAAUCCCAGGUGGCACUGAUAACGUCUUCCCUUUAAAUCCGCAUCCUCGAAAAACCUCUUUCCCUCCGCGCUGCUAGCGGUGCAGCGCGUUACGAAACCAGACCAGGCUCUCUCUUUAUUUAGCUUUCACACAGCAAAACGGUCUGCUGGGGGGGAAAAACAUAUACAGGCUGAGAGGACCCCGUUUUGAGGCAGGACUUCCCAGUGCUCUCCUUUGGAUGUUGGCUGCUUUUUGUUGGUCACUCUGUCAGGAUGAUCCCACACUGCUUUGGUAUUGAGAUCUGGGGAGACCAAUCCAUGACUUAUUGUGAGGCAUGAAGAUUCUAUAUUUUACUCCAGAUUUUGCGUCAGUUCAGAGGGUUAUCUUCGAGGAACUGCAGUUCUACUAAAUAAUUCCUGAGACACUAUGCAGCACCUGGCUGGUGUGCAACAUAAAGCGGGUCAUUGAGAUCUGGGUUAUUCAUAAAGCUCCGGAACAUGGUCAUGAAAGAGUGUCUCAGCACCAUGGGUGCCAUCCUUUUAUGUCCUACACAACAUGAAACAUGGAGUGGAGUUGGG
This is a long non-coding RNA of Oreochromis aureus, 683 nucleotides long. NCBI's taxonomy places the organism in Eukaryota, Metazoa, Chordata, Actinopteri, Cichliformes, Cichlidae. The record is from Ensembl.